GUGUGUGUAUAUAAUGCAGUGUGUUUGUGUAGUGUGUAUUAUAUAAACACACUACACAAACACACUGCAUUAUAUACACACAC
Molecule: non-coding RNA, 83 nt
Organism: Pelobates cultripes (western spadefoot toad)
Lineage: Eukaryota; Metazoa; Chordata; Amphibia; Anura; Pelobatidae
Source: the annotation of a GenBank genome assembly